GGACAGUUGGCCGAGCGGUUAUGGCGCUAGUUUCAGGUACUAGUUCGAAAGAGCGAGGGUUCGAAUCCCUCACUGUUCA
Rhynchosporium graminicola is the source of this 79-nucleotide non-coding RNA. NCBI's taxonomy places the organism in Eukaryota, Fungi, Ascomycota, Leotiomycetes, Helotiales, Ploettnerulaceae. The record is from the annotation of a GenBank genome assembly.